UUUUUUCCUGUAGCAAUACAGGGAAAAGUCUAGCGGCGAACGGGUGCUUAACACGUGGGCAACCUGCCAAGAAGUGGGGGAUAGCUCGCCGAAAGGCGAAUUAAUACCGCAUGUGAUCAGAGUGGACAUCCAUUCAAAAUCAAAGUCGGGGCAACCUGACGCUUCUUGAGGGGCCCGCGGCCUAUCAGCUAGUUGGUGGGGUAACGGCCCACCAAGGCUUAGACGGGUAGCUGGUCUGAGAGGACGACCAGCCACACUGGGACUGAGACACGGCCCAGACACCUACGGGUGGCAGCAGUCGAGAAUUUUUCUCAAUGGGGGAAACCCUGAAGGAGCGACGCCGCGUGGAGGAUGAAGGUCUUCGGAUUGUAAACUCCUGUCAUUGGGGAACAAUGCGCAAAUAUUAACUGUAUUUGCGUUGAUAGUACCCGAAGAGGAAGAGACGGCUAACUCUGUGCCAGCAGCCGCGGUAAUACAGAGGUCUCAAGCGUUGUUCGGAUUCAUUGGGCGUAAAGGGUGCGUAGGCGGCGCGGUAAGUCGGGUGUGAAAUCUCGGAGCUUAACUCCGAAACUGCAUUCGAUACUGCCGUGCUUGAGGACUGGAGAGGAGACUGGAAUUUACGGUGUAGCGGUGAAAUGCGUAGAUAUCGUAAGGAAGACCAGUGGCGAAGGCGGGUCUCUGGACAGUUCCUGACGCUGAUGCACGAAGGCCAGGGGAGCAAACGGGAUUAGAUACCCCGGUAGUCCUGGCAGUAAACGGUGCACGUUUGGUGUGGGAGGAUUCGACCCCUUCUGCGCCGGAGCUAACGCGUUAAACGUG
RNAcentral lists this ribosomal RNA (819 nucleotides) under uncultured Verrucomicrobiota bacterium. RNAcentral describes it as "bacterial SSU rRNA". It matches the Rfam family "Bacterial small subunit ribosomal RNA", at positions 67 to 868 of the family's 1533-position model. The record is from RNAcentral. Lineage: Bacteria; Pseudomonadati; Verrucomicrobiota.